Molecule: ribosomal RNA, 238 nt
Filed under: uncultured bacterium
Lineage: Bacteria
Description: partial 16S ribosomal RNA
Rfam family: Bacterial small subunit ribosomal RNA
Source: RNAcentral
UACAUAGGUGGCAAGCGUUAUCCGGAUUUAUUGGGCGUAAAGAGUGCACAGGUUGUUAUAUAAGUUUAAUGUCUAAUUCUGCAGCUCAACUGCAGCCUGCAUUAAAAACUGUAUGACUAGGAUAUCGGUGGGGUAAGUAGAAUUUCAUGUGUAGCGGUGGAAUGCGUAAAUAUAUAAGGAAUACCAAUAGCGAAGGCAGCUUGCUGAACGAUUAUCGACGCUUAAGACGAAAGCAUGG